Amphiprion ocellaris (clown anemonefish) is the source of this 834-nucleotide long non-coding RNA. RefSeq lists it as uncharacterized. The transcript has 3 exons. The record is from RefSeq and is a predicted model, not a curated record. Lineage: Eukaryota; Metazoa; Chordata; Actinopteri; Pomacentridae.
UUGAAAACCUAAAUGCAGGAUCUAAAAUCAUAAAGUGGACAUAAAUGCUUUCUUACAGUGACAUAAAAAAACUGAAAAUACACACAUUUGACUUUUUUCUUAAAAAGUGAUGCAUUAGAUGAAAUAAUUGUCAGAAUAAUUCAAACCCAAUUUGCUGUUGCUGUCAGCUGUUUUGUGUAGGUAUUAUGUUUGAAAAUGAGUUAGAAGACCAAAUGCAGUUGUCUUUUGUGCUUUUUUUUAAUUGACUUUUAUUUCUAAAAAUGUAAUUCUCAGUACCUCAGCUAAAAUGCUGUGCAAUUAUGUCUCACUGGGGCAUUCAACAGACUCACUGUCAAAACAACCACUUGUGAUUUCUGCUGUUAAAGUUUUGCAGAGGUUUUAGCUAAGUGUGUGUACAUGUGUAAUUGUGGUGCAUAACCUUUCAUGCUUCUGUUUAAAUUGCUUGAAGCGGACCAGCGGUCAUCAAGCUUUCUGUAUCAGCAGAACGAUGGUGCCGCCGCUGUUUGCUAACAUGGUUCACUUUGUGUGUCUCUGCAGGGGGAGGUGGUGCACUGGCUGGCCUGUUGGCUGGAUGCAGCCUGCAGGAAGGGCUCCACUCCCACAGUGGGUAAAGGACUGAUGGAGGGAGGAUCCUUCACUCGUCCAAACUCAGUCUGAUCCAGUUCUUCUCUAAGAUGAGGAAGUGGGCCGACAUGUCCAACCUCUCGCAGGACUUCAGGCUACAAAUGGAUGGCUGGAGCGAAACUUUGAGGUCUCCACCGUGAUCUUCCGCAAGUUUGAUGUCUUGAUUUAGUAAUGAGUCGUGGCCCCUCCAGUCAGGAAGCAGCAGCGGAG